UACGUAGGGCGCAAGCGUUGUCCGGAAUUAUUGGGCGUAAAGAGCUCGUAGGUGGUUUGUCACGUCUGCUGUGAAAACCUAGGGCUUAACCCUGGGCCUGCAGUGGAUACGGGCAGACUAGAGGUAGGUAGGGGAGAAUGGAAUUCCCGGUGUAGCGGUGAAAUGCGCAGAUAUCGGGAGGAACACCGGUGGCGAAGGCGGCAUCCUGGACCAUGACUGACGCUGAGGAGCGAAAGCCAGGGGAGCAAACGGG
Molecule: ribosomal RNA, 253 nt
Filed under: uncultured bacterium
Lineage: Bacteria
Description: partial 16S ribosomal RNA
Rfam family: Bacterial small subunit ribosomal RNA
Source: RNAcentral